Sinocyclocheilus grahami is the source of this 728-nucleotide long non-coding RNA. RefSeq lists it as uncharacterized. The record is from RefSeq and is a predicted model, not a curated record. The transcript has 2 exons. Lineage: Eukaryota; Metazoa; Chordata; Actinopteri; Cypriniformes; Cyprinidae.
GGAUCAGAUCUGUCUGAAUCACUGACUCAACCACACAAAAGCUCUUCCUCUGAGAGAGUUUGUGCAGCAUCAGCCUCUGGAAGGACAACACCACAGCUGAAAUUAGACAUGCAUCCCCUAUUGAUCGGCAUAGUGACAGCCAACACAAGUUUGACUAUUGUCUACUGGAACUUUCUUCUGUCUCAGGUUUUCUGCAAGAAGAUCAAAGAUGCUCCACCACCUGAGGAAAUUCCCGUCUGAGUUGAGGCUUUGGUCGUGACCCUGGGGAUGAAGAGAAAGAAGAAGAACCACCAAAAUCCAUCUUUGGGAAAGUAGGGAUGAAGGAGAGAAAAUAAGAACAAAGGAGGAACAGACUGCCAUUUGACCCAGAAGUGGACGGAUAGAAAUUGUGCCAGGAUUUAAAUCUUCUGUAUUUGACUAAUCACGAGGUUAAAAAGGUGUCACUGAAUAGAUUUAUGAACAACCCUCUCUCUCUCUGUCAUCCAUUAGUCCCUCCCCCCCCCAAAUCUAUCUUUCUUUGUCAGUGCUGCUCAUUUCCACCUGUUCUAAGUUACCAAAAAAUACAAAGCUUACGUGUUUGAAGUCUGUAGGCGGGAGAUGUUUUUUAUUUGUAUUUUCGUGUUCGUUUCACUAUAUUUAGCAAAUAGCUACACAGGUUUUGUUAAAAUCUAUCUGUCGUACUCUUCUAUAUGUGUCUCAUUCCCUCAUUAAUAAAUGAAUACAACAUA